AAGGAAUAUUGGACAAUGCCCGCAAGGGUGAUCCAGCCAUGCCGCGUGCAGGAAGACGGACCUAUGGUUUGUAAACUGCUUUUGAACAAGAGAAAACCCCCUUACGUGUAAGGGGCUGAUAGUAUUGUUAGAAUAAGCAUCGGCUAACUUCGUGCCAGCAGCCGCGGUAAGACGAAGGAUGCAGGCGUUAUCCGGAUUCAUUGGGUUUAAAGGGAGCGUAGGCGGCUUGAUAAGUCAGUGGUGAAAUCUUCUCGCUUAACGAGAAAACUGCCAUUGAUACUGUCAAGCUUGAGUACAGUUGCCGUUGGCGGAAUAUGACAUGUAGUGGUGAAAUACAUAGAGAUGUCAUAGAACACCGAUUGCGAAGGCAGCUAACGAAACUGUAACUGACGCUGAGGCUCGAAAGUGCGGGGAUCAAAC
This 420-nucleotide ribosomal RNA is filed under the name uncultured bacterium. Its description in RNAcentral is "bacterial SSU rRNA". It matches the Rfam family "Bacterial small subunit ribosomal RNA", at positions 356 to 773 of the family's 1533-position model. The record is from RNAcentral.